CUGAGACAGAUUGAAAGACUUGCUUUUUCCCGCGAUCUUCUCUUGGAAAUUGGUCACAACCAUAGACUAUAACCUUGUUUCCGGGAUAAAUGGGUUUUAAACUCAUACUUGAAUACCUUAAGAGGCUCACAAAUCUCCAAGUGUUUUGUUUAAAGAGGGAAACAGGCCUGGCGUCCCGAGAUAUCACACAAAGCGUCUCCAGCUUCAUGAUGACGGCCAGAUUUGAGUCUGGUUGGGCUUGUAUGCAGGAGGGGGGUCGUCUCUUCGUGGGAGAGGACCGGUAAACAGAUUGGAGGUUGUUGGGUUUAAGUCCGGACCCAGCUGAGAGGACCCGGUCCACCAGGUGUCCAUACUGCUGAUCGAUCUGGAUGGCAGACUGACGCAUCUCCUGGAGGUCUUCAUCCUGUUGGAGGAACAACGAAGGACAAACAGAGCAAACCAAAGACAGAUGUGGACCGUAAAACUGCUGGUAUUGCCCUUUAAAAUAAUGUUGGUGCCAAACAAGACUCACUGUAACGCGGCCAUGGUCUCCCCCUGCUGGUGAGGUGGCUGCGCUGCGGCGCCGUCUGCUUUCAGGAAUGCGAGACUGCUCACGUUUACCUCAGGCUGCACGUCAACGAUGCACAUCUUGUUCUUGGCCUGGACGCAGCGGAUAGCUUCAAUACUGGUGCCAUACUGGUUUUCUUUGUACUCGCCGUGCUCUAUGAACCUGUGGAGCAACAGAUUUUUAGUUUUAUAAAAUAAAGCAAACAAUAAAAAGGUUUACGCAGUGAUUAAC
Molecule: long non-coding RNA, 778 nt
Organism: Oryzias melastigma (Indian medaka)
Lineage: Eukaryota; Metazoa; Chordata; Actinopteri; Beloniformes; Adrianichthyidae
Exons: 7
Source: RefSeq, a predicted model, not a curated record